UCAAAUUAAAUUGAUCAGAAUUUAUUUAAUUAUUUUAUUUUUUGUUAUUUAAUUUAUUAAAAAUAUUUAUAUAGUGUUCUUUUUUAGUAUAGUUAUAGAAAAAAUAAUUUUAUUGAUAGUGUAUUAGUAAUGUGAAAGAAUAUUGAAAUAUAUUGAAAAAUAUUUGUUUUUAAAGAAGAUUUAAUUUAUUGUACCUUGUGUAUCAGGGUUGAUUAAAUAAAUUUUAUUUAUUAUAAAUUUCCCGAUUUUAAAAGAGUUAAUAAAAUAUAUAAGUUUAUGUGGUAUAAUAAUUUAUAAUAUUUUAUUAGAGAUGAAAAGUUAUUCGUUUUUAAAGGUAUCUGGUUUUUUCAGAAAUAAAUUUAAUUUAUAAUUUUAAAAUAAUUAGUUUAAUUAUAUUAAUUUAAUUAUUUUUAAAAUUUAAUAUUUUAUGGGAUAAGCUAUAAAAUAAAUUUUUAUAAAUAUGAAUAAUGUAAAUAAAAAUUUGAUUAAUAAUAUUAAUCUUUAAAAAGUUUGUUAUAAUUUAUUAUUUAUUAUAAUUAUUUUUUGUAUUUUAAAUUUUUAUGAAAUUAUUAUUAUUAAUUAUUUUUAUUAAGUAAUAAUGAUUAAAUUAGUAUAUUAUUUUGUUAAAUUAAUUUUUUUGUUAGGUUAAUAUAAAGAAUUCGGCAAAUUUAAUGCUCGCCUGUUUAACAAAAACAUGUCUUUUUGUUUUUAUAAAAAGUCUGACCUGCCCACUGAAAUUUUAAAGGCCGCAGUAUUUUAACUGUGCAAAGGUAGCAUAAUCAUUAGUCUUUUAAUUGGAGGCUUGUAUGAAUGGUUGGACGAAGGUAUUAACUGUUUUAUAUUAAAUAUAUUAGAAUUUUAUUUUUCAGUAAAAAAGCUGAAAUGUUAUGGAGGGACGAGAAGACCCUAUAAAUCUUUAUAUUUAAAUUAUUAUAGUUAUUUAGAAUUUUUAAAUUAUAAUAGUGAUAAUAUUUUAUUGGGGUGAUAUUUAAAUUUGAUUAACUUUAAAUUUUUUAUUACAUUUAUGUAUGAAUUUGUGAUCCAUUAUUAUUGAUUAAAAAAAUAAGUUACUUUAGGGAUAACAGCGUAAUUUUUUUAGAGAGUUCUAAUCGAUAAAAAAGAUUGCGACCUCGAUGUUGGAUUAAGAGAUAUAGUUAGGUGUAGAAGCUUAAUUGUUAAGUCUGUUCGACUUUU
RNAcentral lists this ribosomal RNA (1194 nucleotides) under Physocephala sagittaria. Its description in RNAcentral is "partial 16S ribosomal RNA". Lineage: Eukaryota; Metazoa; Arthropoda; Insecta; Diptera; Conopidae. The record is from RNAcentral.